Molecule: ribosomal RNA, 422 nt
Filed under: uncultured Alistipes sp.
Lineage: Bacteria; Pseudomonadati; Bacteroidota; Bacteroidia; Bacteroidales; Rikenellaceae
Description: partial 16S ribosomal RNA
Rfam family: Bacterial small subunit ribosomal RNA
Source: RNAcentral
UGAGGAAUAUUGGUCAAUGGGCGCAAGCCUGAACCGGCCAUGCCGCGUGCAGGAAGACGGCUCUAUGAGUUGUAAACUGCUUUUGUACGAGGGUAAACCUACUUACGUGUAAGUAGCUGAAAGUAUCGUACGAAUAAGGACCGGCUAACUCCGUGCCAGCAGCCGCGGUAAUACGGAGGGUCCAAGCGUUAUCCGGAUUUAUUGGGUUUAAAGGGUGCGUAGGCGGUUUUAUAAGUUAGAGGUGAAAUCCCGUAGCUCAACUACGGAACUGCCUCUAAUACUGUAAGGCUAGAGAAUGGUUGCUGUGGGCGGAAUGUGUAGUGUAGCGGUGAAAUGCUUAGAGAUUACACAGAACACCGAUUGCGAAGGCAGCUCACAAAGCCAUAUCUGACGCUCAGGCACGAAAGCGUGGGGAGCAAACA